CAGUUGUUCUGCCAAGGGCAUGGCUGGGUAGCUAUGUACGGAAUGGAUAAGCGCUGAAAGCAUCUAAGCGCGAAGCCAACUUCAAGAUAAGAUUUCCCACCGCAAGGGUAAGACCCCAGAAAGACUAGCUGGUUGAUAGGUCGAAGGUGUAAGUGCAGCAAUGUAUUUAGCUUAUCGAUACUAAUAGGUCGAGGACUUGACCAAU
RNAcentral lists this ribosomal RNA (205 nucleotides) under Clostridioides difficile. Its description in RNAcentral is "partial 23S ribosomal RNA". It matches the Rfam family "Bacterial large subunit ribosomal RNA", at positions 2718 to 2925 of the family's 2925-position model. Lineage: Bacteria; Bacillati; Bacillota; Clostridia; Peptostreptococcales; Peptostreptococcaceae. The record is from RNAcentral.